AGAGACAGCAGCCGCCGCGGUAAUACGUAGGUGGCAAGCGUUGUCCGGAAUUAUUGGGCGUAAAGGGCUCGCAGGCGGUUUCUUGAGUCUGAUGUGAAAGCCCCCGGCUCAACCGGGGAGGGUCAUUGGAAACUGGGAAACUUGAGUGCAGAAGAGGAGAGUGGAAUUCCACGUGUAGCGGUGAAAUGCGUAGAGAUGUGGAGGUACACCAGUGGCGAAGGCGACUCUCUGGUCUGUAACUGACGCUGAGGAGCGAAAGCGUGGGGAGCGAACAGGAUUAGAUACCCGUGUAGUCCCUGUCUCUUAUAC
This 309-nucleotide ribosomal RNA is filed under the name uncultured bacterium. RNAcentral's name for it is "partial 16S ribosomal RNA". It matches the Rfam family "Bacterial small subunit ribosomal RNA", at positions 504 to 807 of the family's 1533-position model. The record is from RNAcentral.